Molecule: ribosomal RNA, 468 nt
Filed under: uncultured bacterium
Lineage: Bacteria
Description: partial 16S ribosomal RNA
Rfam family: Bacterial small subunit ribosomal RNA
Source: RNAcentral
GACGAACGCUGGCGGCGUGCUUAACACAUGCAAGUCGAACGGAAAGGCCCUGCUUUUGUGGCGUGCUCGAGUGGCGAACGGGCGAGUAACACGUGCGUAACCUGCCUUUGACUUUGGGAUAAAUUCCGGAAACUGGGGCUAAUACCGGAUAGGAGCUCCUGCUGCAUGGUGGGGGUUGGUUAGUUUCGGUGGGUGGGGAUGGACUCGCGGCUGAUCAGCUUGUUGGUGGGGUAGUGGCUUACCAAGGCGUUGCCGGGUAGCCGGCCUGAGAGGGUGACCGGGCCAAGUGGGACUGAGAUACGGCCGAGAGUAGUACGGGAGGCAGCAGUGGGGAAUAUUGCACGAUGGGCGGAAGCCGGAUGCAGCAACGCCGCGUGCGGGAUGAUGGCCUUCGGGUUGUAAACCGCUUUCGCCUGUGACGAAGCGUGAGUGACGGUAAUGGAUAAAGAAGCACCGGCUAACUACGUG